UCCUAAUACGAAGCAUAAAUGGUGCUUGUGGCAUAUUCUCAAGAAGUUGUCCGAAAAGUUUGGAUACCACGUCGAUAAGGCUUCCAUUUUUUCUACCAUACAUGCAUUGGUUUAUGAUUCACAGUUCGUGGAAGAAUUUGAAGAAGGUUGGAGGGCGAUGAUUGACACAUAUGGGUUGCACAGUAAUGAGUGGUUGUCGGGACUAUUUGAUAAUAUAGGUGUUGGGUUCCUUGCUACUUGAAAACUACAUUUUGGGCUGGGAUGUCGACGACUCAGGGAAGUGAGAGUAUGAACGCAUUCUUUGAUGGGUAUGUUCAUUCGAAGACCUCGUUGAAGCAAUUUGUCAAACAGUAUAAACAGGUACUAAGGAAUAAGGUAAAGAAGGAGUUCCAGGCCGACUUCAAGUCAUACUCCCAAAUGGUACCAUGCACAACAAUGUUUGAAAUGGAGAAGCAAUAUCAAAACUGUUACACCAUUUCGAAGUUCAGAGAAGUUCAACCUGAGCUUAUAGGGAAAGUUUAUUGUGACAUCAUGUCUACUACGAAAGGCACUUCAUGCAUAACCUAUGAAAUACGGGAGUUUGUAAUGGUUGAUUAUAGACGAAAGAUCAAAAAGUUUUUCGUGUCAUUUGAAUGAGAUAAUUGCGAAAUUGUUUGUAGUUGUCAUUUGUUUGAGUUUCAAGGAAUUUUGUGCCAUCAUGCUAUCGUAGUCUUGAUCUGUAAUGAUGUCACGUCUCUUCCAGAUAGGUAUAUACUACGAAGAUGGAGGAGAGAGGUUUGUAGAGCACACACCAAGGUUGCAUUGAAUUAUGCCGGGUUGGUAUCUAUGCCUGAACAGUUGAGAUAUAACGAUAUAUGUCAGGCUUUUGUCGAGGUUGCAAACCUAGCAGCUAAUGAUAAGGAUGCUGCUAUACGAUCAAGGAGUGGAUAAAUAAUCAAAAGGAAGAGUUGAUGACAAUAAAAUUAGGCUCCGAAAGUAAUCGCAUUUUACAUCACGAUAUUCAGUUAGCCUCGCAGUGUAAUGAAUCUGAAAACAAUGCCAUAAGGGAUCCUAUAUCGACAAGAAGAAAGGGCGCUCCUAAGAAGCUUCAGAGAAAAGGCCGACUUGGAGACAUCUUCGAAAAAGGCAAAGGCUACAUUGCCCUCGACUAGAGGAAAUGGACCAACAUCCAGGCAUAGUGAUACACCGUCUGCACCCGUCGUCCAAGCAUCUCAACAAUAUUCUAUGCAGACAUCGUUUUCGUAUUCACAACUACUGUUGGGUGAUGUAGAAAGUCUUACCUUCUCGCAACACUGGCCAGCCUCAAGUUUGGUCCCCCAACAUCAACAAAUGUCAUAUUCAACGAUCAAGGUCGUUCGAUUCCAUACAGUUAACUAUCCACAUUUCCCACAAGAAGGUGGUCCAGGCAUAUGAACAAUGGAUGAAGAAUUUUUGGACUUUUGCUAUUCGUUCUUUGCUGUCUAUCAUGUUAGGAUUUUUGGGACAUUUUUUAUUUCGCGGAGUAAAAAAAAAUGCCUAAGAGCGAAAUGUUUCUAUUUUUGUUUGUGGGGAUAAUUCUGUAAAUUUGUCUUGGUCCAUUUCCACUAGGAAGGAAGGGUACAUUCUUGACCUCAUUAGUUAUUCAUAUCUCGACUACCACUGUACUAUGAUUGAUAUUCAAGCAUUUGUAAAUGACAAUUUGGCACUAUGCCUAUAAAAUAUCUCAAGACUGGAUCUUUUGUUA
Olea europaea var. sylvestris is the source of this 1723-nucleotide long non-coding RNA. RefSeq lists it as uncharacterized. The record is from RefSeq and is a predicted model, not a curated record. NCBI's taxonomy places the organism in Eukaryota, Viridiplantae, Streptophyta, Magnoliopsida, Lamiales, Oleaceae. The transcript is spliced from 4 exons.